Molecule: ribosomal RNA, 253 nt
Filed under: uncultured bacterium
Lineage: Bacteria
Description: partial 16S ribosomal RNA
Rfam family: Bacterial small subunit ribosomal RNA
Source: RNAcentral
UACGUAGGGGGCAAGCGUUGUCCGGAAUCAUUGGGCGUAAAGCGCGUGUAGGCGGCCUUGUAAGUCCGUUCUGAAAGCCCGGGGCUCAACCCCGGGAGGCGGAUGGAUACUGCAAGGCUCGAGUCCGGAAGAGGCGAGUGGAAUUCCCGGUGUAGCGGUGAAAUGCGCAGAUAUCGGGAAGAACACCCGUGGCGAAGGCGGUUCUCUGGGACGGUACUGACGCUGAGACGCGAAAGCGUGGGGAGCGAACAGG